This 256-nucleotide ribosomal RNA is filed under the name uncultured bacterium. Its description in RNAcentral is "partial 16S ribosomal RNA". It matches the Rfam family "Bacterial small subunit ribosomal RNA", at positions 525 to 779 of the family's 1533-position model. The record is from RNAcentral.
CAGAGGGGUGCGAGCGUUAAUCGGGAUUUACUGGGCGUAAAGCGCGCGUAGGUGGUUAAUUAAGUCAAAUGUGAAAUCCCCGAGCUUAACUUGGGAAUUGCAUUCGAUACUGGUUAGCUAGAGUAUGGGAGAGGAUGGUAGAAUUCCAGGUGUAGCGGUGAAAUGCGUAGAGAUCUGGAGGAAUACCGAUGGCGAAGGCAGCCAUCUGGCCUAAUACUGACACUGAGGUGCGAAAGCAGUGGGAGCAAACAGGAUU